This 4459-nucleotide long non-coding RNA is filed under the name Zea mays. RNAcentral's name for it is "long non-coding RNA (ZMAY_LNC005722)". Lineage: Eukaryota; Viridiplantae; Streptophyta; Magnoliopsida; Poales; Poaceae. The record is from RNAcentral.
GGGUUGAUGCCGUGAGGGAAAGAAAGGGUGAAACACCUCGUGUUGAACCACAUCUUCGGCGUCGCUCCGACCGGCAGUCAGGGGCAGGGUGCUUCGUCGUGGCAUGGCACGAGUGUCUGUAGCACCGGUCGAUGGUAGGCGGCUUCGGUGAUCGCGGAAUUUCUCACCAGCGCAAUAUUUCUCCGUGGGACCACAUCGCGUCGUGAACAACACCGCGGGGACCUCGUGCUUCGGUAAUGCCCUCGGAUCGACUCUAUACCUCCUCUGCAUUGUUUAGCACCUGGUUACGCUUUGAAUCGAGCCCGGGCGUGACCAUUGGGCGCUCCCCGAUGAUGGCGCCGCCGUGGGCGGAAUCCGACUGACGUGGGGCGCGGUCGGGCGAGGGAGACGUGUCCCUAGGCGUCAAUCAAGGCUUCAACGACCGAGAUUAGAAGAUCGUAUAAUGUUUCACCUGGUUGAUCAUGAACCGUUGAUCCACAGAUGGACGUAGGACGUUAGAUCGAGGCACUUUAAAAUCUGCACCAUAGAUCUCGGGAUCAACGGCUGUGGUGCGUACCGUUUCGUUAUAAGAUCGACCUAAUCUGAGCCAUAGGAUAUUAAUCCUACGACCGUAGGCAGGUACGGUGCAAUAAGAUUGUGAGAUCUAAUAUGUGGCAUCUAUUUCGGAUCCAACGACUUAUCUUCGCCAAUACCCCUUCGCCCGGCAGGUUUUUGCAUAGGUGACCCCUUGUUUUUAGCGAAUUAACCCGCCGUCCACAAUCACUGUUAAAUAAUUACAACUGCACCCUGGAAUUUGUAGAUUAAACCUUGAGCUCUCUAGUAAUCAUGUCCGCGGCCCAGAACUUUCAGUUUAAUAAUAAAAUUAAUUAUAAAAUGAUUUAUAAUAUAGAAAUAAUUUCAUAAACUUGUUUAAUUCAUCUUAACUCUUUUUUGAGCCAUUCCAGUGGCAUUAAAUCCAUAAUUAUAUUGUUUAUCCCCUGGUAACUUUAUUUUGUUAUGAAACAUAAAUUAAAAUUAUGUACGUAAUUUCUUUUGUACCCAACUAUUAAAUUUUUGGAAAAUCAUAACUUUAUAACCGUAACUCCAAAUUUAGUGGUUCUCGAACCUGCGAUCUAGUUACGACACGUAGAACAUUAUUACACAGUUUGUUUUUAUGUUUGGUGUGAUGUUAAUUUUGCCUACACCAUAUUUGUUUGUAUUGCUACGAUUAGCAUCGAGGUCAUGAGAAUCUGAAGAUCAUCCUAGUACCUGGAAUCUCGAGCCUCAAGCAAGUUGUGCCCUUGAUCACUUUUCUUUACCCAAUAAUGUUCCUGCUAAUCACUGUGACAUGCUUAGGUUAAUCUGAUAGGACCUAAUAGGUUUUUCUAGACUUGUUUAUCCCACACCUUGUUUACCACUGAACCUUUGGGUAGUUUUGCUAUUGCUCUACCUGGUUUUGGGAUUAAUAUUACAUUAUGAUCAUGUUCCAGUUAUACUAUUGUUUUAAUUAUUGUUCAUGACAAGAUCAUUGUGUUAAUUGGAACAUGGAGCUUAACUUGAGAUAUCUGUGCUACCACAAGGGUGGAAUUGGACGCCCUUGGCUGACUAAUUAGGAAAGCUAGUGGAGGACUACCUUACCCGAAAGGGGCAAGGGUAGUAGGGGAGUUGUCGGUAUAGGGAGGUUCUCGGUUUGAUCAUGCUGCGAUGGCUUUUCGGACGGAGGAUUCCUAUAUUGCGCUCUCUAGAAACUGUAGCGGGUUUUCUGAAGCUAGUGGAACUUCGUAAAGGCCUCGUAGUGGAUCCCUAGCCAUUCACCUCGGAAGUGUCUAAGGGUCUAGCUAACCUUGGCUAGGCGAGAUACACGACUUGUGGGUAAAGGGCGCAACCUCUGUAGAUUGUAAAACUGGUAUAUCAACUGUGCUCGCGGUCAUGAGCAGAUCAUGACUCUCGCAUGAUUAAUUUAUGGAACUAAACUUAAUUUUUCAUAUGCAUUGCAUUGUGGGUGUUGUUAUUAAUUUGAUCUCUUACUUAUUUGGGUUGAUAUCUACUUAUACUUAGUAACUGCUAACAAAACUUUGACCAACUCUAAAAGCAAUGCAAAGCUUUAACCAUCUCCUUUGGUAAGCCUUACACUUCACAUGAGCUCCCACCUUUGGUGAGUUCAUGCACAUUAUUCCGCACAACUUGUUGAGCGAUGAACGUAUGUGAGCUCACCCUUGUUGUACUCACACCCCCUGGUCAAGGACAUGUACCACAAGAUGAGGCGCAUGAAGGAUGUUGUGAUGGGUUCAUGAGUGGUCUAGGUCGUCGUCUCCCAGUCAACUAUGGUUGUUGGAUUGAUGUCUUCGUAUGAUGUAAUUAUUUAUUUAUUUUGUACGAAACUCCUAUUAUAUAGUAAAGAUGUGACAUUCAUUUCUAUACCAUGAGUCAUCAUAUGUGUGAGACUUGAUCCUAGCAUACUUGGUGAUUAUUUCGCGCCCGGGUUUUGGCCCCUAAAACCCGGGUGUGACAGAAGUGGUAUCAGAGGAAUGUUGACUGUAGGACAAAACCUAGAUAGAAUUGUACAACCCUUACUUAGUUACCUUUGCUACUUUGAUUCUUUCUAAACUUUUAUUAAUCUUUUCUCAUCUAUUGCUGCUUUACUCUGAUUACUCUUACUUUUUCACUUCUAAAGACAAAAGUGGAUUUCACACUUUGAAAUUCGGUACCUAAAGCGACUUUUAGGAAUAGGAAACCUAAUCUUAGGAACCCAAUCAAAACUAUUUUUGUAAGUAUGUAUAUCCUUGACUGUUUGUUCUUAUGAUAACUGCCUGAUUCGGAUUUUGAUUGAGUGUGAUGAGUUGUGGAGUAAUAUCCACAAUUGCAUCUCCAUAUACACCUAGGCAUAAAAAAUGUUUAUAAAAUAACUAGACAACCUAAAUUAUCUCCCAUUAAAAUAUAUCUAGUAUCACAUAUCUAUCUUAUCUUAGCAGAUUCUAUCUUAUCCUUGGAGAUUCAUCUUAUAAGCAUAGCCAACCUGACAUAGACACAAAACAACAGAAUCAAGCUCUGCUUAAGAUCCUCCAGUUUAUGACCAACUACUAGGCUAUCUAUACUGCCUACUAAAUUAUUCCUCUUACAAAACAAUCUUACCAUAUAUUUCUAACCCAGAUGGUCAAUACCAGGAAGGGAGGCAAUAUCGAUCUACCUGCUAACAACCGUCGUAGGAUGAUUGUUAACCAACCACAACCAGAGAUGAAUCCUCCACCGAACCCUCCACCGCCUGGAACAGAUCCCGUUGCCAUCGCUCAGAUGCAGCUGCUGUGGCAAAUGGCAAACACCAUGAUGGAAAUGCAAGCGCAAAUGCGACAAGAACGUCAGGAGAUGUGCCAGGAAUGACAGGAAAUACGACAGGAAAUGAGGCAAGAACGCCAGGAAAUACGCCAAGUACGGCAGGAACAACAACAACUACCACCUCCACCACCACCAGCUCCGCCCAGGGAUAAGCAUCGAGAGUUUAUGAGUCACAAGCCCCCGACAUUCUCUAACUCCUCGGACCCACUACAAGUUGAUGUCUGGUUAAAGUUCAUGGAUAAGAUGCUCAACAUAGCUCAGUGCUCUGACCAGGAGAAAGUACUCUAUGCUUACUGGCCCCGCUGCGGAUUGGUGGGAUGCAUAUUACGUUGUUCACGCUAUUGCCAACACCAUCACCUGGGCAGAAUUCUCCACUCAAUUUAGGAAUUAUCACAUUCCUGUUGGCCUUAUGAAAAUUAAAAAGAAAGAGUUCCUAUCCCUCAAACAGGGAGGGAUGUCAGUAAGCGAAUACAGAGACAAUUCAUCCAGCUAUCCCAAUAUGCUGGAUAUAUUUAUGAUGUCAGCAGCCUUGGGAGCUCCUUUGAUUAGAGAUAUUCUGGAUAUAUUUAUGAUGAUGAUUUAGUCAUGAUGAUUAUAAUGAUGGAUUCUUAUAUUUCCUCUUGAAGGGAGUACUUUUUAGGUUAAUAACUUGGGGGUUAUUGCUAAAACUUGGCCCUCUACUAGUAAUAAAUACCUGACCAACUAAAAGCAAAUGCUUUGAGCUUCCCCCACAUACAGCUAGUCCACUUUAGUCAAAUGGGACAUUUGCUGAGUACCUUGAUGUGUACUCACCCUUGCUUAAACACCAAACACCAGGUUGUCCCCAUUGCAACCCUUGCUCAGGAGAAGAUGAAGGCAAUAUGUUGGACUUUCAGGACUUCGAUGAAUUCUAGAGUAGAUUAGUGGCAAACCCCCAGUCAGCUGCCUAUGAAGGCCUUAUCGUACUACGUUUCGUUCAGCACUUUGAUUUUAUGUUUAAGUUAAUGACUAUGUGGAUGUUUCAGACAUCAUGAUGUAAUAAAGUACUACUUUCCGCUAUUAUUUGAACAUUGUGUGAUGAUGUCCAAUUAUGUAAUCUAUGUGUAUGUGAAUUUCUGAUCCUUGCACGUACAUGGUUCCCAUUCGUUUUGCCUUCCAAAACCGGGUG